This 450-nucleotide ribosomal RNA is filed under the name Veillonella dispar. RNAcentral describes it as "bacterial SSU rRNA". It matches the Rfam family "Bacterial small subunit ribosomal RNA", at positions 28 to 457 of the family's 1533-position model. Lineage: Bacteria; Bacillati; Bacillota; Negativicutes; Veillonellales; Veillonellaceae. The record is from RNAcentral.
GACGAACGCUGGCGGCGUGCUUAACACAUGCAAGUCGAACGAAGAGCGAUGAAGCUUGCUUCUAUCAAUCUUAGUGGCGAACGGGUGAGUAACGCGUAAUCAACCUGCCCUUCAGAGGGGGACAACAGUUGGAAACGACUGCUAAUACCGCAUACGAUCUAAUCUCGGCAUCGAGGAUGGAUGAAAGGUGGCCUCUAUUUAUAAGCUAUCACUGAAGGAGGGGAUUGCGUCUGAUUAGCUAGUUGGAGGGGUAACGGCCCACCAAGGCGAUGAUCAGUAGCCGGUCUGAGAGGAUGAACGGCCACUUGGGACUGAGACACGGCCCAGACUCCUACGGGAGGCAGCAGUGGGGAAUCUUCCGCAAUGGACGAAAGUCUGACGGAGCAACGCCGCGUGAGUGAUGACGGCCUUCGGGUUGUAAAGCUCUGUUAAUCGGGACGAAAGGCCUUC